This 826-nucleotide long non-coding RNA is filed under the name Sus scrofa (pig). Its description in RNAcentral is "lncRNA (ENSSSCG00065043239.1)". The record is from RNAcentral. Lineage: Eukaryota; Metazoa; Chordata; Mammalia; Artiodactyla; Suidae.
GGCUGCUCGGGCAAUGCACGGCAAUGCCCGGCUGAGCCGGCCUCCCUGGGCGACGGCCCGGGGCUGGAGCUUUGGGUGGGAGGCCCUGGGAAGCAAGCAGGGCGGGGCCGUGUCACAGGCACGGAGGGGGGCAUCCUGCCUGAGGACCGGGCAUCUCCCAAGCCGCUGAAACAUGUUUAUCAACACGGUAGAGAAGCAAAGCGGGGACAGCGACUUCCUACCCACUGGAGGAAAAAGCAAAACCCCAGAGCCCCAGGGAGUUACGGAGAAGAGAGGCGAGUACCGGAAACCAGGGGAAACGCAGAGCCUCCGAGGUGCUGCUGUCAAGAGCGGAGCUGCAAGGUCUCGGGUGCAGGUGAGUGGGGAGGAGGGUGCAGCUCAGAGGGGUCCAGGAAGAGGGUGCCCCGAAGGGCAAAGGCUGGGCAGAGGGUGAUGCAAGGACGGGACCUGGGCCUGCGGGCGGAGAGGGACAAGGGGUGGGUGGAGGUGUGCAGGGUGGGUCUGGGCUCCGAGUUCCAGAGCUUAGAAGUGGACACUGGUGUGGCCGCCCACGCCCAGGGCUGGGCCUGGCACCAAGGAGGGAGGCGGCGGAGAACUGGCUUCUUUUCAGAUGCUGGAGAUCCAGGGCAUUUGGGGGAGGGGGUCGGAUCAGGGGCAGGUUGCCCCUCUGGGGAGCUGCAGCCGGAACUGUGAAGGCCACUGCCUUCCUCUCGGUAGCAGCCGUUCAUUCAACUAAAAACUCAUUUUUCCAAACUUUAUUUUGUGGAAAUGUCGGUGCCUCAUAAAAGCGAUAAGAAUUGCAGCCCUGGUAAGAAGGUGGUCGGGC